RNAcentral lists this long non-coding RNA (618 nucleotides) under Homo sapiens (human). RNAcentral's name for it is "HSALNT0341789". Lineage: Eukaryota; Metazoa; Chordata; Mammalia; Primates; Hominidae. The record is from RNAcentral.
AAUUCAAGAGGACACUGGUCCAUGGCUAUCUUUCUUUUCUUACUGUAUCUUGUAACUUCUGUGGUGCUUUAUCGAGAUUUACCAGUGUAAUACAUCUGGGAGUCUCAGGAAAUGUGAUGUUGAAGCAUAUUAACAAUUGUCACCACCCUACUUACCAAGUAUGUUUUCCUUAUUGAAAUCUGACUCGGCAGUGACCCAAUUCCAGAAUCCCAACAUGAAGGGCUGCUUUCCAGACUCUGUGUAACAAGCUGUCCUGGUUUGGCUUCACUGUGAAAGCCAAACCAGAGAUGGCCCUGGAUUGAUUUGCCAAAGAUCCACCCAGGAAUCCUGACUCAUUAAAGAAGGGUGGAGAUUUUCUGAGCUAAGCGAGAGACCUUUCCUCAGAGGUCAUUUUCUCUUCGACUUCUUCUGAGGCAACUCCUGCAGCCAGCCCCCAAAGACAGAAUCAGAUAAUAGGAAUUCAAAAACCUAACUUAACUGUGAGCCAUGUUACAAGGUUCAAGACCUUCAGCAACAGCCAGUUUUACUAAGUUACUAAUAGUCAAGGAGACACAGGAAGAAGAUGGCCAUCUAAAAGUCAAAAGAAGAAGCCUGGAACAGAUUUUUCCCUCACAGUUC